Pseudopipra pipra is the source of this 1334-nucleotide long non-coding RNA. RefSeq lists it as uncharacterized. The transcript is spliced from 2 exons. The record is from RefSeq and is a predicted model, not a curated record. Lineage: Eukaryota; Metazoa; Chordata; Aves; Passeriformes; Pipridae.
AGCUCAGCUCAUCCUCAGCCCUGCUUGGGAUGUUGUGCCAGCUCACCAGGCACGGCUCAGCUCGAGUCAGCACGGCUUAGCUCCGCUCAGCCUGCUCAGGACAUUAUGCCACCUAAGUAGGCACAAUUCAGCUUGGUCCAGCUUGGCGCAGCUCAGCUCAGCACAGCACAGCUCAGCACAGAUGAGGACUUGCCGAUGUGCCAGAUAGGCACAGUUCAGCUUGGCAUGGCUUGACUUGGCUCAGCUGAGCAGAGCUCAGGAUAUUUUGCCACCUCAGUAGGUGUGAUUCAACUCGACACAGCUCAGCUCAGCUCAGUUUGGGACAUUGUGCCACUUAGGUGGGUUCAAUUCAGCUCACCUCAGUUCAGCAUGGCUCAGGACAGUUUGGGACAUGACUCUACCUAGGUAGACACAGCUCAGUUCUACGUGACCUAGCAGAGCUUGGGACAUCAUGCUGUGUACAGCAUGGCUCCACUCCUUUGGCACAGCUCAGGACAUGAUACCGUCCAGGUAGGCACAUCUCAGCUUGACACAGCUUGACUUGGCUUGGCUCAGCAUGUCUUGAAACCUCAUGCUACCUAGAUAGGCACAGCUUAGCUCAGCAGAGCUUGGCAUGGCUCAGCAUGACUCAGCUCAGCACGGCUUAGGACAUCACAUCAUGUCGCCUAGGUAGGCACAGCUCAGCUUGACUCAGCUCAGUUCAGCUCAGCUUGGCUUGGCUCAACACAGCGCAGCCUGGCACAGUUCAGCUUGUCUCAGUCCAGCAUGGCUCAACUUGGUUCAGCAUGGCUCGAGAUGUUGUGGCACCUACAGCAGAGUUCAGCUCAACUCGGUUCAGCACAGCUCGGAACAUCAUGCCACCUAGCCCCAAGUCAAGCACCCAGAGGGCAGGAGAGACAAAUGACAUCUUGGGGCACGUCUGGGACACCUGCAGCUCUUAGUGUGGUAUCCGGCUGUUCCCAGAGCCACCCAGGAACGUCUCAGACACGCCGUGAGCUGGGGCAGGCUGGUGCUGCCCAGCACCUCCGAGGCCACUGGCAUGUCCAGCCUCGUGGGAGAGGGACAACCCUGGGCAGAGAUAGCCCAGAGGGAGAAGCUGCCCUGCCCGGUGGAGUUUUUCUUCAUUCCUUGAAAGCCACAGAGACCUGCUGUGCGGGAUUCAGGGCUGGAGGCAGGGCCAGGGCAGUGCUGAGGAGGAGCCGCCGUGAUGGAUGGCACGACACCAUUCCCAAAUGCCUCUACCAUGGGUGACAGUGCCCAGAGCACAGGGGGAUGCUCAGAAACGGUAUGGACCUGUGGGAAGCAUUGCAGCCAGCACCCAUUGUGGGGUUUAA